UACGAGGGGGGCGAGCGUUGUUCGGAAUUAUUGGGCGUAAAGGGUGCGUAGGCGGCCUGACAAGUCUGAUGUGAAAUCCCUGGGCUCAACCCAGGGCCUGCAUCGGAAACUGUCGGGCUUGAGUAUGGGAGAGGUGAGUGGAAUUUCCGGUGUAGCGGUGAAAUACGUAGAUAUCGGAAGGAACACCUGUGGCGAAAGCGGCUCACUGGACCAUUACUGACGCUGAGGCACGAAAGCUAGGGGAGCAAACAGG
Molecule: ribosomal RNA, 253 nt
Filed under: uncultured bacterium
Lineage: Bacteria
Description: partial 16S ribosomal RNA
Rfam family: Bacterial small subunit ribosomal RNA
Source: RNAcentral